AGCUCCAAUAGCGUAUAUUAAAGUUGCUGCAGUUAAAAAGCUCGUAGUUGGAUCUCGGGGUACCUGGUCUAGCCGGUAUAGCUCACGCUAAAACUGGUCUGACCCCCCAACGUGAGGUAUUCGUCUCCGGGUGCACUUCAUUGGGUGCUCGUGAGGGGCCUCGUAGUUACUGUGAAAAAAUUAGAGUGUUCAAAGCAGGCUCAUAUGUUCGGAUAGUCGUGCAUGGAAUAACUGAAUACGUGACUGGCGCUUUUCAGUUGGUCUCGGCGACUGGUCAAAUGAUUAAGAGGGACUGCCGGGGGCAUUGGUAUGGCAAAAGCGAAAGCAUUUGCCAAGAAUGUCUUCA
This 346-nucleotide ribosomal RNA is filed under the name marine Metazoa environmental sample. RNAcentral's name for it is "SSU rRNA". It matches the Rfam family "Eukaryotic small subunit ribosomal RNA", at positions 587 to 972 of the family's 1831-position model. Lineage: Eukaryota; Metazoa. The record is from RNAcentral.